This 76-nucleotide microRNA precursor is filed under the name Myotis myotis. RNAcentral describes it as "mir-9229 microRNA precursor family". It matches the Rfam family "mir-9229 microRNA precursor family". The record is from Rfam by way of RNAcentral. Lineage: Eukaryota; Metazoa; Chordata; Mammalia; Chiroptera; Vespertilionidae. RNAcentral also lists the same sequence under 1 other name.
GAGACACCCUUAUGGAACAGGACUUGCUUCAUUGGAACUUUGCUGCUCACUGAGUCUGCUCCUUGAGUGUGUCGCU